Zingiber officinale is the source of this 408-nucleotide long non-coding RNA. RefSeq lists it as uncharacterized. NCBI's taxonomy places the organism in Eukaryota, Viridiplantae, Streptophyta, Magnoliopsida, Zingiberales, Zingiberaceae. The record is from RefSeq and is a predicted model, not a curated record. The transcript is spliced from 4 exons.
UGCUACAAAAGGAUAUUGUUGGAGCAACAUUGACUAUUAUGAAUAGAGCUAUAGAGGAAGAGCGAUACAUCGAUGCAACUUUCAUUCGUGAUCAUGUUGGGGCAGGACUGCUACAUGAAGCUAUUCACUCCAUUGAGCUUUAUUCAUUUUGCUAUAUGCAAGCCUAUAACAGUGGUUGCCAAUUCUUAUAUAUUGAUUGAAAAAAAAUCUUCAAAUGUUGAACGCAUACAGAAACUUAAAGCAAUGUUCAGAAAGGGUGCAUGCGACUUAAAUACUGAUGAAAAAGGUAGUUGCUCAGUAUACUGCUUUGUGGUUUUUAUGCAAACUGCACAUCCUCAAGCUUUGAGAUCUUACUAGAGUGUUGCUGCUGUAAUGUUGAGACAUAAGAAAAGGGAGAAAGCUGGGUUU